This 832-nucleotide long non-coding RNA is filed under the name Micromonas commoda. Its description in RNAcentral is "long non-coding RNA (MCOM_LNC000016)". Lineage: Eukaryota; Viridiplantae; Chlorophyta; Mamiellophyceae; Mamiellales; Mamiellaceae. The record is from RNAcentral.
ACACGAGCCUUACCGUCAUCAAGGCUAUUUGUCAGUGUCGCGAGAAGCUCGGCAAUAUCAUCGGAGUCGUUCACAUAGUACCCUGCGCCUGACCGUUUCCGCCCGACUGUGCAUGUAAUCGGAGUCCUGAAAGUUGUCAAAAUUGAAGGUUUGUCGUCAUCGUUUCCUUUCGAAUCGACCGCAUCAUUCACGUCCCCAGUCUGCUUACUAUGCGCAUCAUUGCCCUGUUGAUCGCUUUCAAACACAUUUGCUAAGCUUUCAACCCGGUGGGGGUUUUUGAUCUUUUGUUUUGAAGGAUGCUGCACUGCAGGGAUGUGACGAUGUCUGAAUACUGCCGAGGAGCCAUAAUUGAUAUACUCAAAUAUGUCUUCGUCUCGACCAAGAAAGUGACCGCAACACAUAACAAAGUCGACCUGCCGAUGUUCAAUAGCUGCCGGUGGAGGUGCAGUAUUUUCAUGGUCCUGCUGAUCAAUUCCGGUGAAAAUGUUAUCAGUCGAUCUGAAGGUCGCCAUGUGUGAUACUACAUCAGUCUGUUCUCCCGUUGAUGCAUGAAUCCUGGUUUCGGGAGGAACAUGCUCACAACUCUCUUCUCGCCUUAUCAAUGAAGAUGAACCGAAUUCUCCCAUCAUCGAGACGAUUCGCUCAACUGCGGCACCUUUGCUCACACCUAUUGGCCUUACCUCCACAGACUUCGCACCCUGAAUGACAUCAACUGCCGCAUUUGAAAUGGGUCCAGUCCACAAAUGUUGCAAAAGGUCCCUGGCUUGCUGUCGGCCGAAGUCAGGGUCGGCAUACUUGUAACUCCAUACCAAGGACGUCUCUCGUGUUUCAA